This 301-nucleotide ribosomal RNA is filed under the name uncultured bacterium. Its description in RNAcentral is "partial 16S ribosomal RNA". It matches the Rfam family "Bacterial small subunit ribosomal RNA", at positions 509 to 807 of the family's 1533-position model. The record is from RNAcentral.
CAGUAGCCGCGGUAACACGGAGGGUGCAAGCGUUAAUCGGAAUUACUGGGCGUAAAGCGCACGCAGGCGGUCUGUCAAGUCGGAUGUGAAAUCCCCGGGCUCAACCUGGGAACUGCAUUCGAAACUGGCAGGCUAGAGUCUUGUAGAGGGGGGUAGAAUUCCAGGUGUAGCGGUGAAAUGCGUAGAGAUCUGGAGGAAUACCGGUGGCGAAGGCGGCCCCCUGGACAAAGACUGACGCUCAGGUGCGAAAGCGUGGGGAGCAAACAGGAUUAGAUACCCCUGUAGUCCCUGUCUCUUAUAC